AAGUCGUAACAAGGUCUCCGUAGGUGAACCUGCGGAGGGAUCAUUAACACGUAUCCAACACGUUCUUAAAACCAAACCCUUCGUGCUCCCUUUAUUUCCCUUCUAUUGAAUUGGGUAUAUGCAAGCCAUAAGGUAGACUUUAGACAUAGGUUCCUCGGAACCUAUUUCUAACUGCUUGCAGUACAACUAUAUAUGAAACCCACUAGUGGGUCGAGUAUAUGGAACCGAUUUGAUAAGGUGUAAACUUCAAGCUACCUUGGCUUUCAGUGCCAACCCGGCUCGACCCGGAGCCUGAUAGCCUUAGUAAACCCCCAUUUUUUUUAAACCCCUUUCAUAUAAUUGAACUGAUUUAUAAUUUUGCUUUUAAUUAAGUAAAAAUAUACGAAACGCGAACAACUCUUAGCAACGGAUAUCUUGGUUCUC
RNAcentral lists this unclassified non-coding RNA (423 nucleotides) under fungal sp. RNAcentral's name for it is "partial internal transcribed spacer region". The stretch from base 1 to 46 matches the Rfam family "Eukaryotic small subunit ribosomal RNA", at positions 1786 to 1831 of the family's 1831-position model. The record is from RNAcentral. Lineage: Eukaryota; Fungi.